RNAcentral lists this ribosomal RNA (454 nucleotides) under uncultured Rikenellaceae bacterium. RNAcentral's name for it is "partial 16S ribosomal RNA". It matches the Rfam family "Bacterial small subunit ribosomal RNA", at positions 341 to 792 of the family's 1533-position model. The record is from RNAcentral. Lineage: Bacteria; Pseudomonadati; Bacteroidota; Bacteroidia; Bacteroidales; Rikenellaceae.
ACGGGAGGCAGCAGUGAGGAAUAUUGGUCAAUGGGCGGAAGCCUGAACCAGCCAUGCCGCGUGAAGGAAUAAGGCCCUACGGGUCGUAAACUUCUUUUGUGGUGGAGCAAUAAGGUGCACGUGUGCAUCGAUGAGAGUACAUCACGAAUAAGCAUCGGCUAACUCCGUGCCAGCAGCCGCGGUAAUACGGAGGAUGCAAGCGUUAUCCGGAUUUAUUGGGUUUAAAGGGUGCGUAGGCUGUUCUUCAAGUCAGAGGUGAAAUACCCGAGCCUAACUCGGGAACUGCCUUUGAUACUGGAGGGCUUGAAUACUGUUGCCGUGGGAGGAAUGAGUAGUGUAGCGGUGAAAUGCAUAGAUAUUACUCAGAACACCGAUUGCGAAGGCAUCUCACGAAUCCGUCAUUGACGCUGAGGCACGAAAGCGUGGGGAUCAAACAGGAUUAGAUACCCUGGUA